GCGUUGUUCGGAAUUACUGGGCGUAAAGGGCGCGUAGGCGGCCUUCUAAGUCGCACGUGAAAUCCCUGGGCUCAACCCAGGAGCUGCGUCCGAUACUGGAAGGCUUGAAUCCGGGAGAGGGAUGCGGAAUUCCAGGUGUAGCGGUGAAAUGCGUAGAUAUCAGGAGGAACACCUGUGGUGUAGACGGCUUACUGGACCAUGACUGACGCUGAGGCACGAAAGCGUGGGGAGCAAACAGG
Molecule: ribosomal RNA, 239 nt
Filed under: uncultured bacterium
Lineage: Bacteria
Description: partial 16S ribosomal RNA
Rfam family: Bacterial small subunit ribosomal RNA
Source: RNAcentral